Molecule: ribosomal RNA, 253 nt
Filed under: uncultured bacterium
Lineage: Bacteria
Description: partial 16S ribosomal RNA
Rfam family: Bacterial small subunit ribosomal RNA
Source: RNAcentral
UACGGGGGGGGCAAGCGUUGUUCGGAAUUACUGGGCGUAAAGGGCUCGUAGGCGGCCAACUAAGUCGGAUGUGAAAUCCCCAGGCUUAACCUGGGAACUGCAUCCGAUACUGGAUGGCUUGAAUCCGGGAGAGGGAUGCAGAAUUCCAGGUGUAGCGGUGAAAUGCGUAGAUAUCUGGAGGAACACCGGUGGCGAAGGCGGCAUCCUGGACCGACACUGACGCUGAGGAGCGAAAGCCAGGGGAGCAAACGGG